GUCUGGGCCCUGAGCGGAAAUGAACAGCAAGCCCCUCGCCAUGCUGACCGCGCUUCCCUGCGUGUUUUACUUCAUCAUGAAGUCUAAAUUUGGUGCUGAGGUGCCCAUCUAAGCUUACCCACUUGUCAGGAAGGUAUCCAGGGCUGAAACGACUUGGGAACUUGAUAAAAUCAAUUAAGACUGUACAUAGAUGGAAAAAAAAACAAACUCCACAGUGAUUAGAAACAAAGGAUGGUCAGUGAAUCAUUGUUUCUGGCUGACCUCUGCUAGCCAGGCAAACCCGUGAGGAUGUCCGUGACCCCGCUGUGGAGGAGAAAACAGUCACUGUUCGCACUCACCCUUCCCUGCCUUCCUCCACCGAAGUCCCGGUCAGCAGCACCACCAGAUCCCUGGGGUCCCAAAUGCCUCGCUUCUGAGAUUAACCCUACUGACUGCAGUUGGAACAAGAGUUGGUUAUUGGAGUAGCUGGAAGCUAACUGCAGUUGAAUAACAGAACUAACAGAGCUUCAGAAUCACGGUGUGCCGCCACCGCCGGGUCCCUUUAAGCAAAAAAUCAUGUUGCAGAACACCAGGAAACUUUCAAUGCGAUUUAAACUUUAAGAGCAUU
This is a long non-coding RNA of Fukomys damarensis (Damara mole-rat), 607 nucleotides long. RefSeq lists it as uncharacterized. The record is from RefSeq and is a predicted model, not a curated record. The transcript is spliced from 3 exons. Lineage: Eukaryota; Metazoa; Chordata; Mammalia; Rodentia; Bathyergidae.